GAGCAUAUGGUGUUCAUUGGUUA
This 23-nucleotide non-coding RNA is filed under the name Arabidopsis thaliana (thale cress). The record is from RNAcentral. Lineage: Eukaryota; Viridiplantae; Streptophyta; Magnoliopsida; Brassicales; Brassicaceae.